Molecule: ribosomal RNA, 389 nt
Filed under: uncultured bacterium
Lineage: Bacteria
Description: bacterial SSU rRNA
Rfam family: Bacterial small subunit ribosomal RNA
Source: RNAcentral
GACGAACGCUGGCGGCGCGCCUAACACAUGCAAGUCGAACGGAGCUUAGAGAGCUUGCUUUUUAAGCUUAGUGGCGAACGGGUGAGUAACGCGUGAGUAACCUGCCCUAGAGUGGGGGACAACAGUUGGAAACGACUGCUAAUACCGCAUAAGCCCACGGUACCGCAUGGUACUGAGGGAAAAAGGAUUUAUUCGCUUUAGGAUGGACUCGCGUCCGAUUAGCUAGUUGGUGAGGUAACGGCCCACCAAGGCGACGAUCGGUAGCCGGACUGAGAGGUUGAACGGCCACAUUGGGACUGAGACACGGCCCAGACUCCUACGGGAGGCAGCAGUGGGAAUAUUGCAACAAGUCGGGGAAACCCUGAUGCAGCGACGCCGCGUGGAGGAAG